Molecule: ribosomal RNA, 2284 nt
Filed under: Klebsiella pneumoniae
Lineage: Bacteria; Pseudomonadati; Pseudomonadota; Gammaproteobacteria; Enterobacterales; Enterobacteriaceae
Description: partial 23S ribosomal RNA
Rfam family: Bacterial large subunit ribosomal RNA
Source: RNAcentral
GAAACCGUGUACGUACAAGCAGUGGGAGCACCUUCGGGUGUGACUGCGUACCUUUUGUAUAAUGGGUCAGCGACUUAUAUUCUGUAGCAAGGUUAACCGUAUAGGGGAGCCGCAGGGAAACCGAGUCUUAACUGGGCGUUAAGUUGCAGGGUAUAGACCCGAAACCCGGUGAUCUAGCCAUGGGCAGGUUGAAGGUUGGGUAACACUAACUGGAGGACCGAACCGACUAAUGUUGAAAAAUUAGCGGAUGACUUGUGGCUGGGGGUGAAAGGCCAAUCAAACCGGGAGAUAGCUGGUUCUCCCCGAAAGCUAUUUAGGUAGCGCCUCGUGAAUUCAUCUUCGGGGGUAGAGCACUGUUUCGGCUAGGGGGUCAUCCCGACUUACCAACCCGAUGCAAACUACGAAUACCGAAGAAUGUUAUCACGGGAGACACACGGCGGGUGCUAACGUCCGUCGUGAAGAGGGAAACAACCCAGACCGCCAGCUAAGGUCCCAAAGUCAUGGUUAAGUGGGAAACGAUGUGGGAAGGCACAGACAGCCAGGAUGUUGGCUUAGAAGCAGCCAUCAUUUAAAGAAAGCGUAAUAGCUCACUGGUCGAGUCGGCCUGCGCGGAAGAUGUAACGGGGCUAAACCAUGCACCGAAGCUGCGGCAGCGACACUAUGUGUUGUUGGGUAGGGGAGCGUUCUGUAAGCCUGCGAAGGUGACCUGUGAGGGUUGCUGGAGGUAUCAGAAGUGCGAAUGCUGACAUAAGUAACGAUAAAGCGGGUGAAAAGCCCGCUCGCCGGAAGACCAAGGGUUCCUGUCCAACGUUAAUCGGGGCAGGGUGAGUCGACCCCUAAGGCGAGGCCGAAAGGCGUAGUCGAUGGGAAACAGGUUAAUAUUCCUGUACUUGGUGUUACUGCGAAGGGGGGACGGAGAAGGCUAUGUUAGCCGGGCGACGGUUGUCCCGGUUUAAGCAUGUAGGCUGGUUGUCCAGGCAAAUCCGGAUAAUCAAGGCUGAGGUGUGAUGACGAGGUACUACGGUGCUGAAGUAACAAAUGCCCUGCUUCCAGGAAAAGCCUCUAAGCAUCAGGUAACAUUAAAUCGUACCCCAAACCGACACAGGUGGUCAGGUAGAGAAUACCAAGGCGCUUGAGAGAACUCGGGUGAAGGAACUAGGCAAAAUGGUGCCGUAACUUCGGGAGAAGGCACGCUGGUGUGUAGGUGAAGUCCCUGCGGAUGGAGCUGAGACCAGUCGAAGAUACCAGCUGGCUGCAACUGUUUAUUAAAAACACAGCACUGUGCAAACACGAAAGUGGACGUAUACGGUGUGACGCCUGCCCGGUGCCGGAAGGUUAAUUGAUGGGGUUAUCCGUAAGGAGAAGCUCUUGAUCGAAGCCCCGGUAAACGGCGGCCGUAACUAUAACGGUCCUAAGGUAGCGAAAUUCCUUGUCGGGUAAGUUCCGACCUGCACGAAUGGCGUAAUGAUGGCCAGGCUGUCUCCACCCGAGACUCAGUGAAAUUGAACUCGCUGUGAAGAUGCAGUGUACCCGCGGCAAGACGGAAAGACCCCGUGAACCUUUACUAUAGCUUGACACUGAACAUUGAGCCUUGAUGUGUAGGAUAGGUGGGAGGCUUUGAAGCGUGGACGCCAGUCUGCGUGGAGCCAACCUUGAAAUACCACCCUUUAAUGUUUGAUGUUCUAACGUUGGCCCCUUACCGGGGUUGCGGACAGUGUCUGGUGGGUAGUUUGACUGGGGCGGUCUCCUCCCAAAGCGUAACGGAGGAGCACGAAGGUUAGCUAAUCCUGGUCGGACAUCAGGAGGUUAGUGCAAUGGCAUAAGCUAGCUUGACUGCGAGCGUGACGGCGCGAGCAGGUGCGAAAGCAGGUCAUAGUGAUCCGGUGGUUCUGAAUGGAAGGGCCAUCGCUCAACGGAUAAAAGGUACUCCGGGGAUAACAGGCUGAUACCGCCCAAGAGUUCAUAUCGACGGCGGUGUUUGGCACCUCGAUGUCGGCUCAUCACAUCCUGGGGCUGAAGUAGGUCCCAAGGGUAUGGCUGUUCGCCAUUUAAAGUGGUACGCGAGCUGGGUUUAGAACGUCGUGAGACAGUUCGGUCCCUAUCUGCCGUGGGCGCUGGAGAAUUGAGGGGGGCUGCUCCUAGUACGAGAGGACCGGAGUGGACGCAUCACUGGUGUUCGGGUUGUCAUGCCAAUGGCACUGCCCGGUAGCUAAAUGCGGAAGAGAUAAGUGCUGAAAGCAUCUAAGCACGAAACUUGCCCCGAGAUGAGUUCUCCCUGAGACUU